UGCAAGUCGAACGAAACUUCUUUAUCACCGAGUGCUUGCACUCACCGAUAAAGAGUUGAGUGGCGAACGGGUGAGUAACACGUGGGCAACCUGCCCAAAAGAGGGGGAUAACACUUGGAAACAGGUGCUAAUACCGCAUAACCAUAGUUACCGCAUGGUAACUAUGUAAAAGGUGGCUAUACUACCGCUUUUGGAUGGGCCCGCGGCGCAUUAGCUAGUUGGUAGGGUAAAGGCUUACCAAGGCAAUGAUGCGUAGCCGAAUUGAGAGGUUGAUCGGCCACAUUGGGACUGAGACACGGCCCAAACUCCUACGGGAGGCAGCAGUAGGGAAUCUUCCACAAUGGGCGAAAGCCUGAUGGAGCAACGCCGCGUGGGUGAAGAAGGUCUUCGGAUCGUAAAACCCUGUUGUUAGAGAAGAAAGUGCGUGAGAGUAACUGUUCACGUUUCGACGGUAUCUAACCAGAAAGCCACGGCUAACUACGUGCCAGCAGCCGCGGUAAUACGUAGGUGGCAAGCGUUAUCCGGAUUUAUUGGGCGUAAAGGGAACGCAGGCGGUCUUUUAAGUCUGAUGUGAAAGCCUUCGGCUUAACCGGAGUAGUGCAUUGGAAACUGGGAGACUUGAGUGCAGAAGAGGAGAGUGGAACUCCAUGUGUAGCGGUGAAAUGCGUAGAUAUAUGGAAGAACACCAGUGGCGAAAGCGGCUCUCUGGUCUGUAACUGA
Molecule: ribosomal RNA, 720 nt
Filed under: uncultured Lactobacillus sp.
Lineage: Bacteria; Bacillati; Bacillota; Bacilli; Lactobacillales; Lactobacillaceae
Description: bacterial SSU rRNA
Rfam family: Bacterial small subunit ribosomal RNA
Source: RNAcentral